Molecule: long non-coding RNA, 1610 nt
Organism: Harpegnathos saltator (Jerdon's jumping ant)
Lineage: Eukaryota; Metazoa; Arthropoda; Insecta; Hymenoptera; Formicidae
Exons: 2
Source: RefSeq, a predicted model, not a curated record
UAGCUGAUAUUGUUACGUCUCAGCUCCUAUUUUCCCCCCUUUUUCUUAUUUCUUUUUUUUAUCUUUAUCGAGCGGUACAUCUUGCAAUCUAAACUUCCGGUUCUCCCCUCCCUCGUUCGAUAUGGACUAGGAUUAUAUUAUGUUGACAUUCGUAACGGCGACCUGUAAUUGUGACUAGCAUUUUAUUUUAAGUUAAUGCGUUAGCUUUAAUGCCUUUUACUAUUCCUUUAUAUAUGGAAAACCUUGUGUUAAAUUUCCGACACCGGCGUGUGUUAAUUUGAUAUAUCGAUUUUGGAUGACACAUUUUAUGUGCCAGACUCAACGUAUGAAUUGUGUUACUCUUUCCUGUUUUCUUUCUUUUCGGCACUUCUGUUCUAUGUUAAUUUGACACGUGGUUUUCUACAGCGCGCGUAUGCUUUAUCAUUGCUUACGUAGUCUCAAGAAUAACAGCCCGGUUGCGCGAGGGCUUGGCUAUUAUUUCUUACUAUUAUUCCAAAUUAUUUUUAUCAUAGCGGACAGACUAUGCAGCUUCCCCAUCUCUUACUUCUUAACAAUAAAAAUAAGCACUAAGUGUGGGAAAGUUGUGUUAUAACCGUUAACAACUUUUCUAAUCGUUAUCUUUAUAACUCUGCAGUAUAAGCAUUGUGAUUCUACGAAUCUCAUAACUGUUUUGCGUCAGCAGCACGGCCCAGCUUCGCUCUCAGGAAUCUCGGAUGGAAGACAAGGCAUAUCGCGUCGUAAUUCUCCACCUUGUUUCUUUCAUCCGACAUCUCGCUAAACUUUACAUAUUAUCCGGUUAUUAGAUCAAAGUGUUAGAAAUGUAGUGUAAAGAAGUAAAAACCUAUCAUUAUAAAAUUGUACUACCCCCGUUUGCCACUCUCCGUUAAAAUUAUUAAACUUGUGUCGAAUUCGCCAGGAACGCUUCCUUGGCCUAUCAUUGUAAAGCGUCGUACCUAAAUUCGCGAUUGCCGCAUUAUUGUCCACCCGCGGUUGACUAUAAAAUUGUAAACGUUUUCAUUCUAAGAUAACCGAACUGUUUAGGCGACACUUUGGCGGGGUUCUUAUCGUUGUUCCAUCCGGAGAUCGAGUAACUCGCGUCUUGCUCCGACAUAAAGAAGAAGGACUCCUCGGCCCGUCGGCGAACCGCCCGCUUCUUCACUCUCGUUGAGGCCGUCACACGUUUCGGACGCGUGCUCACAAGUCUCUCCUUAACUAUUGUACUUAGAGAAUCUUCAAGUUCCACCAUCUCGUGACGGUUUCUCAUAUUCUCGUAUAUCUCCUUUUUUUUCUUUCUGGUUCUUUCUCAUUACAAUUGUUGCAACCAAGUGUAUUCGUAACUUCAACCAAUUUCACGAUCUUCUUAAUUAAUUCGUACAAGAAAAGACAGACGCGACUUUCGGAAGGGAGUGUGACAUCGCGAGCGUUCGACGUUCCGUCAUCUAAGCUGGGAGGAACGCAGGCACGUACGAGGGCUCCUUCUCCCGUUCCAUUCCGACGCCUAAACAGUGACGUUCCAGCCAUCCGAUCACAAUUCAGAAUCUUUCUCUGAAAAUGAGAAAGCAUCUGUCGCGGAUUUCAUGGAGUCGUCUUCUUCAGUGUCACUUUCUAAC